UUUUCAAUUACUUUCCCCAAACAAUGGAUAUCUUUUUCUCUUCUCUGGCUUUCUCACCCAAACGGCUUAAAACUCUAUCUCUAGGUUUUAUUUAUUUCUUCGUUUUUGAUUUCAACUGCUGAUGUUGGAAAAGUGACAACGAUUCGCUUUUCUUCUUCUCUUAGUUUGCAAUUUCUUGGUUUAGCAGCUGCGUCGGGUCUGAAAUUUCUGGUGGAAUAUGGGAUCAGCAAUUGAAGAAAGAAGAAGAUGAACUCAGGAAGAAUAAGAGAGAAACGUCAACCUCUUUCCAGAGAUCGGAACCCUGACUCCGGCAUUCCCGGCGAUUUGAAAUCCGACUCCGACAGCUCACCAGACCGCGACUCUAGUUCUUUGUGUUAGGUAUAAUCCUAUGUUCAGGCAAGGAGCAGGAUAGAUUAGCUGAAGGGUUGGGUCACAGAAGUGUAGCUAAGGUACGGAAACUAUCCACCUGAAGCAACUUGUGGAUAUAGUUGCAAGCAUAAGAAAACAUUGGAGGAGGAUCCUUCUGCUUUUGCAUUUGAUGAAGUUUAUGAUGACAUGAAACACAGAGACAUUGUUCCUAAACUGCAAGAUCGUCAAGACCUCAAGGAUCUGGUAAAGGGGUUUCAGACACUCCCGUGACGCUCCAUAUUGCAAAUGCAGAGCUUGCUCCAACUCACCCAAUCUGUCUAGGUCUGGCACUGAACUGAUGAGUUAUGUGCAGGCUCCAAAAACUUCACAAGAUAAAAUGGCUACUGAGCUUCAAGACAAAUAGAAAAUACUUGCAAAUCAGAUGAUCAAAAUGCAAAGUUUUGUCUAUUGUUUUUGAUUCGUUGUUGAUCCUUACCUGUAACAUUGUUUUAAGACUGCUAUGUUUUUAUAAAUCAAUUUGUAGUUUACAAAUUAUGGAAUAUAUUUUUUACCAAUUAAAAGGAGGAUUAACAAAGGAGUGAUAUUUAUGUUUAAAAAUUAAAUUAUAUUUUAUAUUUAUAAAGUUCCUAUUUAAAUAAAUUAAAGAUUUUCAUAUAAUUAUAGGGUUUGGAGUAUAGUGUCUCGGGGUUUAGUUAGAUUUAAGACGUAAGACCAAACUUUUAGAUUAAAUUUAAAAUUUGAAAUUAACUAAUGAAAAAAGAGUUUUAAAAUUUUUAGUUAUAGUUUAUGGUAUAUGAUAAAUUUGGGAUAUGAUAUAUAUAAGUAUAGUUUAUGGUUUGAGGUUUAAAAUUAAUAUUUGAAAUUAAAUUUAUAAAAAUAUAAAUUUUGAAUGAAACUUAAAAUCUAAGAUUAAAAUAAGAAAAUAUUUAAGUUUUGAGGACUGUGUUUAAGUUUUAGUUUUUAGGGUUUAAACCCUAAUCCCUAAACAUAAACUUUAAAACUUCAUUUUUUCAUAAUAUAGCUAUAAUCUUAAAUUUAAAUUCAAAAUUUAAUUAUUUUAAAAUACAAUAUAUAAUUUAAAUUCUAAACUUUAUACACUAAAUCAUAAAUCUACACCCUAAAUCUAAUCUCUAAACCCCAAAAUUAAACUCUACAUACAAAGUCAUAAAUUUAAUCUUUUCAAAUUUAGUAAAUCACACAACAUCAAAACUCAAAUACAAAAAUAUAGAUUUCAAAUUUUAAAUUAUAAUAUCAAAUCAAUUAAAGUUUAGCUAAUUUAAUAAUAACUAUAAAUAAAUAAAAAGAUAAUAUGUAUUUUUUUUUGAGCCAUUGAUUGAUUUAGAUCAAAAGUCCAAAAUCAUUCUCUCAGCUAUUCUCAUCCUUUUCUCAAUUGGUUUGGCAUGGAUCACCUUUUCCACCCUUGGAUAAUAUUGAAUCAACGCUCAAGAUUAAUUGUACUUUUACAUUUGUUUUUAAUUAUUUUUGCGAUCUGAGAUCUCGUGUUUGAGAAGAGAGAGAGAGUUACAGAAGCCAAAGAGAUAGAGAGAGAUGGAGUUCGAGAUGGUAGAGUUGUGUCGGAGAAGACAUGGGAAGGGGCUCGAUUCCGUCGCACUCCGUUCGAUUCUGUCGUAGUCUUCACCACCACCACCAUGGUCACCUCUUUCUCUCUCUCUGUCUCUCUCUCUCUGUUUUGAUUAUGUUUUUCUUUGUGGGCAGAGCUGGUGGUCGUGAGCAGAGGAGACAAUACGGUGGUACCAAGGACUGGUAUGUCUCUGGUCAAGAUCUGCGUUGGCUUCACCUCCUCACCACCACCACAGAUUUGUUAAGGAGCAGGGAAGUAAAAUCAGUGGUGUGACAUAGCGGCGACUCCGGUCAAGCGUGAUGCAGCAGUGGUGCAAGCCGGUGGUGGGGUGGUGGUCGUGCGGUGGAGAUGCGGCGGGGACUGAAGAAGAUCGUCUGAUUGUAGUUUGGUGGGUGUAUUAGGUUUAGUUAGGGUUAAUUACUAAACCAAUUUGUAACUGUAAACCAAUGUAAUUGUAAACCAAUGUAAUUGUAAACCAAAAUUCAAUUUAUAAAAAUACCAAUUUAUUAUU
Molecule: RNA transcript, 2462 nt
Organism: Brassica napus (rape)
Lineage: Eukaryota; Viridiplantae; Streptophyta; Magnoliopsida; Brassicales; Brassicaceae
Exons: 6
Source: RefSeq, a predicted model, not a curated record